This 485-nucleotide ribosomal RNA is filed under the name Babesia gibsoni. RNAcentral's name for it is "SSU rRNA". It matches the Rfam family "Eukaryotic small subunit ribosomal RNA", at positions 500 to 1037 of the family's 1831-position model. The record is from RNAcentral. Lineage: Eukaryota; Apicomplexa; Aconoidasida; Piroplasmida; Babesiidae.
GUCUUGUAAUUGGAAUGAUGGUGACGUAAAAUCUCACCAGAGUAACAAUUGGAGGGCAAGUCUGGUGCCAGCAGCCGCGGUAAUUCCAGCUCCAAUAGCGUAUAUUAAACUUGUUGCAGUUAAAAAGCUCGUAGUUGAAUUUCUGCGUUGCCCGACUCGGCUACUUGCCUUGUCUGGUUUCGCUUUUGGGGUUUUCCCCUUUUUACUUUGAGAAAAUUAGAGUGUUUCAAGCAGACUUGUGUCUUGAAUACUUCAGCAUGGAAUAAUAAAGUAGGACUUUGGUUCUAUUUUGUUGGUUUGUGAACCUUAGUAAUGGUUAAUAGGAACGGUUGGGGGCAUUCGUAUUUAACUGUCAGAGGUGAAAUUCUUAGAUUUGUUAAAGACGAACUACUGCGAAAGCAUUUGCCAAGGACGUUUUCAUUAAUCAAGAACGAAAGUUAGGGGAUCGAAGACGAUCAGAUACCGUCGUAGUCCUAACCAUAAAC